This 106-nucleotide non-coding RNA is filed under the name Niallia circulans. RNAcentral's name for it is "Bacillus circulans SAM-I sequence". It matches the Rfam family "SAM riboswitch aptamer (S box leader)". Rfam says of the family: The SAM riboswitch is found upstream of a number of genes which code for proteins involved in methionine or cysteine biosynthesis in Gram-positive bacteria. The SAM riboswitch acts at the level of transcription termination control. The predicted structure consists of a complex stem-loop region followed by a single stem loop terminator region. The record is from Rfam by way of RNAcentral. Lineage: Bacteria; Bacillati; Bacillota; Bacilli; Caryophanales; Bacillaceae.
UGCCUUUCAAGAGAGAUGGAGAGAAUCAGCCCAAGGAAGUCUGGCAACUUGCUGGAUGCAAGGUGCAAAAUCCAACAAAAUGGAUACCCAUUUUGAAAGAGAGGGU